ACGCUCGACACCUACGGGAGGCAGCAGUGGGGAAUAUUGCACAAUGGGCGAAAGCCUGAUGCAGCAACGCCGCGUGAGCGAAGAAGGCCUUCGGUCGUAAAGCUCUGUCCUCAAGGAAGAUAAUGACGGUACUUGAGGAGGAAGCCCGGCUAACUACGUGUCAGCAGCCGCGGUAAUCUGAGCGGGCUGGCAAGGC
RNAcentral lists this ribosomal RNA (196 nucleotides) under uncultured bacterium. RNAcentral describes it as "partial 16S ribosomal RNA". It matches the Rfam family "Bacterial small subunit ribosomal RNA", at positions 328 to 539 of the family's 1533-position model. The record is from RNAcentral.